RNAcentral lists this unclassified non-coding RNA (85 nucleotides) under Algibacter pectinivorans. RNAcentral's name for it is "Flavo-1 RNA". Lineage: Bacteria; Pseudomonadati; Bacteroidota; Flavobacteriia; Flavobacteriales; Flavobacteriaceae. The record is from RNAcentral.
UGUUAGUUGCGUUAGGGAUUGCAACGGAUAGCCCACAGCCCGACGUAGGAGGUGCGAGGACUUGUAGUGGAAAGCCCGACCCUUG